UGGGGAAUAUUGGACAAUGGGCGAAAGCCUGAUCCAGCAAUGCCGCGUGAGUGAUGAAGGCCUUAGGGUCGUAAAGCUCUUUUACCCGGGAUGAUAAUGACAGUACCGGGAGAAUAAGCCCCGGCUAACUCCGUGCCAGCAGCCGCGGUAAUACGGAGGGGGCUAGCGUUGUUCGGAAUUACUGGGCGUAAAGCGCACGUAGGCGGUUAUUCAAGUCAGAGGUGAAAGCCCGGGGCUCAACCCCGGAACGGCCUUUGAAACUAGAUAACUAGAAUCUUGGAGAGGCGAGUGGAAUUCCGAGUGUAGAGGUGAAAUUCGUAGAUAUUCGGAAGAACACCAGUGGCGAAGGCGACUCGCUGGACAAGUAUUGACGCUGAGGUGCGAAAGCGUGGGGAGCAAA
This 400-nucleotide ribosomal RNA is filed under the name uncultured bacterium. Its description in RNAcentral is "bacterial SSU rRNA". It matches the Rfam family "Bacterial small subunit ribosomal RNA", at positions 355 to 772 of the family's 1533-position model. The record is from RNAcentral.